UUUAAACGGAGAGUUUGAUCCUGGCUCAGGAUGAACGCUGGCGGCGUGCCUAACACAUGCAAGUCGAACGGUUAACCCACCUUCGGGU
This 88-nucleotide ribosomal RNA is filed under the name Paraeggerthella hongkongensis. RNAcentral describes it as "partial 16S ribosomal RNA". It matches the Rfam family "Bacterial small subunit ribosomal RNA", at positions 1 to 85 of the family's 1533-position model. Lineage: Bacteria; Bacillati; Actinomycetota; Coriobacteriia; Eggerthellales; Eggerthellaceae. The record is from RNAcentral.